This 763-nucleotide ribosomal RNA is filed under the name uncultured bacterium. RNAcentral describes it as "bacterial SSU rRNA". It matches the Rfam family "Bacterial small subunit ribosomal RNA", at positions 546 to 1311 of the family's 1533-position model. The record is from RNAcentral.
CGGAAUCACUGGGCGUAAAGCGCGCGCAGGCGGCUGUCUACGUCCGGGGUGAAAGCCCAGAGCUCAACUCUGGGACUGCCUUGGAUACGGGAUGGCUUGAGGAUCGGAGAGGCAAGGGGAAUUCCACGUGUAGCGGUGAAAUGCGUAGAGAUGUGGAGGAACACCUGUGGCGAAGGCGCCUUGCUGGCCGAUUUCUGACGCUGAGGCGCGAAAGCGUGGGGAGCAAACAGGAUUAGAUACCCUGGUAGUCCACGCCGUAAACGAUGAGUGCUAGGUGUUGGGGGGUACCACCCUCAGUGCCGAAGCUAACGCAUUAAGCACUCCGCCUGGGGAGUACGGUCGCAAGACUGAAACUCAAAGGAAUUGACGGGGGCCCGCACAAGCAGUGGAGCAUGUGGUUUAAUUCGAAGCAACGCGAAGAACCUUACCAGGACUUGACAUCCCGCUGACCGGUCUAGAGAUAGACCUUCCCUUCGGGGCAGCGGUGACAGGUGGUGCAUGGUUGUCGUCAGCUCGUGUCGUGAGAUGUUGGGUUAAGUCCCGCAACGAGCGCAACCCUUGGAUUGUGUUGCCAUCAUUUAGUUGGGCACUUACAAUCGACUGCCGGUGACAAACCGGAGGAAGGCGGGGAUGACGUCAAAUCAUCAUGCCCCUUAUGUCCUGGGCUACACACGUGCUACAAUGGGCGGUACAAAGGGAUGCGAAGCCGCGAGGUGGAGCCAAUCCCAGAAAGCCGUUCGUAGUUCGGAUUGCAGGCUGCAAC